UUUUUAGCGGCGGACGGGUGAGUAACGUGUGGGCAACCUGCCGUUUUACUGGGGAAUAAUCACUGGAAACGGUGACUAAUACCGCAUAAUAUUCUUGGAAGGCAUCUUCCGAGAAGGAAAGGAAAUAUUCGGUAAAAGAUGGGCCCGCAUCUGAUUAGCUAGUUGGUGAGAUAACAGCCCACCAAGGCGACGAUCAGUAGCCGACCUGAGAGGGUGACCGGCCACAUUGGGACUGAGACACGGCCCAAACUCCUACGGAAGGCAGCAG
Molecule: ribosomal RNA, 268 nt
Filed under: uncultured bacterium
Lineage: Bacteria
Description: partial 16S ribosomal RNA
Rfam family: Bacterial small subunit ribosomal RNA
Source: RNAcentral